This 301-nucleotide ribosomal RNA is filed under the name uncultured bacterium. RNAcentral's name for it is "partial 16S ribosomal RNA". It matches the Rfam family "Bacterial small subunit ribosomal RNA", at positions 509 to 807 of the family's 1533-position model. The record is from RNAcentral.
CAGCCGCCGCGGUAAUACGAAGGGGGCUAGCGUUGUUCGGAUUUACUGGGCGUAAAGGGCGCGUAGGCGGACUGAUAAGUCAGGGGUGAAAUCCCAAGGCUCAACCUUGGAACUGCCUUUGAUACUGUUUGUCUUGAGUUCGAGAGAGGUAAGUGGAACUGCGAGUGUAGAGGUGAAAUUCGUAGAUAUUCGCAAGAACACCAGUGGCGAAGGCGGCUUACUGGCUCGAUACUGACGCUGAGGCGCGAAAGCGUGGGGAGCAAACAGGAUUAGAUACCCCAGUAGUCCCUGUCUCUUAUAC